RNAcentral lists this transfer RNA (70 nucleotides) under Marmota monax (woodchuck). It matches the Rfam family "tRNA". Rfam says of the family: Transfer RNA (tRNA) molecules are approximately 80 nucleotides in length. Their secondary structure includes four short double-helical elements and three loops (D, anti-codon, and T loops). Lineage: Eukaryota; Metazoa; Chordata; Mammalia; Rodentia; Sciuridae. The record is from Rfam by way of RNAcentral.
AGGGUUGUGGCUCAGUGUAGAGCUCUUGCCUAGCAUGUAUGAGGCACUGGGUUCGAUCCCAGGGGCCAUA